GCGUAAAACCACGACUGAUCAGAGAUUAAAUAAAACUCACUUUUGUUUUCGGACAAAAAACGUGUAUUAUUCAUAGUCAAAACUUGAAGCUAUUCUUUAUUGAAUUGCUGAACUAAACUUAAAACUUUCAACAACGGAUCUCUUGGUUCUCGCAUCGAUGAAGAACGCAGCGAAGUGCGAUAAGUAAUGUGAAUUGCAGAUUUUCGUGAAUCAUCGAAUCUUUGAACGCAUAUUGCGCCCUCUGGUAUUCCGGAGGGCAUGCCUGUUUGAGCGUCAUUUCCUUCUCAUAUCCCUAGGAUGUGGUGAUGAACGACACUUUCGCAAGAAAGUCCGUUUGAAAUGAAUUGGCACGAGUCUUUCGACAGAUUGAUGCUAUGUUUUCAAUGUAUUAGGUUUACACCAUCGUUGAUUGUAGUAUUGGACUGUUGAAGUUAUGGGCUUUGCCUUACAAACUUUACCUUAAAGUUUGACCUCAAAUCAGGUAGGAUUACCCGCUGAACUUAAGCAUAUCAAUAGCCGGGAGGGAAA
RNAcentral lists this ribosomal RNA (528 nucleotides) under [Candida] boidinii. Its description in RNAcentral is "eukaryotic LSU rRNA". The stretch from base 123 to 276 matches the Rfam family "5.8S ribosomal RNA". Lineage: Eukaryota; Fungi; Ascomycota; Pichiomycetes; Pichiales; Pichiaceae. The record is from RNAcentral.